This 171-nucleotide ribosomal RNA is filed under the name Clostridioides difficile. Its description in RNAcentral is "partial 23S ribosomal RNA". It matches the Rfam family "Bacterial large subunit ribosomal RNA", at positions 1 to 170 of the family's 2925-position model. The record is from RNAcentral. Lineage: Bacteria; Bacillati; Bacillota; Clostridia; Peptostreptococcales; Peptostreptococcaceae.
UGGUCAAGUUAUUAAGGGUGCAGGGCGGAUGCCUUGGCACUAGGAGCCGAUGAAGGACGUGAUAAGCUGCGAUAAGCUUCGGGGAGUUGCACGUAAACUUUGAUCCGAAGAUUUCCGAAUGAGGAAACUCACUUAGAGUAAUGUCUAAGUAUCAUUAAGUGAAUACAUAGC